AUUGAACGCUGGCGGAAUGCUUUACACAUGCAAGUCGAGCGGCAGCGCGGGGCAACCUGGCGGCGAGCGGCGAACGGGUGAGUAAUACAUCGGAACGUACCCUGUCGUGGGGGAUAACGAGUCGAAAGAUUCGCUAAUACCGCAUACGACCUGAGGGUGAAAGCGGGGGAUCGCAAGACCUCGCGCGAUAGGAGCGGCCGAUGGCGGAUUAGCUAGUUGGUGAGGUAAAGGCUCACCAAGGCGACGAUCCGUAGCGGGUCUGAGAGGACGACCCGCCACACUGGAACUGAGACACGGUCCAGACUCCUACGGGAGGCAGCAGUGGGGAAUUUUGGACAAUGGGGGCAACCCUGAUCCAGCCAUUCCGCGUGAGUGAAGAAGGCCUUCGGGUUGUAAAGCUCUUUCGGCAGGAACGAAACGGUCCUUUCUAAUACAGAGGGCUAAUGACGGUACCUGAAGAAGAAGCACCGGCUAACUACGUGCCAGCCGCCGCAGUAA
This 498-nucleotide ribosomal RNA is filed under the name uncultured bacterium. RNAcentral's name for it is "partial 16S ribosomal RNA". It matches the Rfam family "Bacterial small subunit ribosomal RNA", at positions 29 to 523 of the family's 1533-position model. The record is from RNAcentral.